RNAcentral lists this ribosomal RNA (247 nucleotides) under uncultured bacterium. RNAcentral describes it as "partial small subunit ribosomal RNA". It matches the Rfam family "Bacterial small subunit ribosomal RNA", at positions 26 to 288 of the family's 1533-position model. The record is from RNAcentral.
AGAACGAACGCUGGCGGCGUGCUUAACACAUGCAAGUCGAACGAGGUGCUUGCACCUAGUGGCGAACGGGUGAGUAACACGUGAGCAACCUGCCCUUGGCUCUGGGAUAGCCUCCGGAAACGGGGAUUAAUACCGGACAUGACCUCCUUCCGCAUGGGGGAGGGUGGAAAGUUUUUCGGCCAGGGAGGGGCUCGCGGCCUAUCAGCUUGUUGGGGGGUAACGCCCACCAAGGCGACGACGGGUAGCC